UACGGAAGGCAGCAGUGGGGAAUAUUGCACAAUGGGCGCAAGCCUGAUGCAGCCAUGCCGCGUGUAUGAAGAAGGCCUUCGGGUUGUAAAGUACUUUCAGUCGUGAGGAAGGCGUUAAGGUUAAUAACCUUAGCAAUUGACGUUAGCGACAGAAGAAGCACCGGCUAACUCCGUGCCAGCAGCCGCGGUAAUACGGAGGGUGCGAGCGUUAAUCGGAAUUACUGGGCGUAAAGGGCACGCAGGCGGUUAAUUAAGUUGGAUGUGAAAUCCCCGGGCUUAACCUGGGAAUGGCAUUCAAGACUGGUUAGCUAGAGUCUUGUAGAGGGGGUAGAAUUCCAUGUGUAGCGGUGAAAUGCGUAGAGAUGUGGAGGAAUACCGGUGGCGAAGGCGGCCCCUGGGACAAAGACUGACGCUCAUGUGCGAAAGCGUGGGGAGCAAACAGGGAUUAGAUACC
This 454-nucleotide ribosomal RNA is filed under the name uncultured bacterium. Its description in RNAcentral is "bacterial SSU rRNA". It matches the Rfam family "Bacterial small subunit ribosomal RNA", at positions 340 to 786 of the family's 1533-position model. The record is from RNAcentral.